GUAGGAGGCAAACGUUAUCCGGAUUUACUGGGCGUAAAGCGCGUGUAGGUGGUUCUGUAAGUAGGGCGUGAAAGCUCCUGGCUCAACUGGGAGAGGCCGUUCUAAACUGCAGAGCUAGAGGAUGGUAGAGGGAGGUGGAAUUCCGGGUGUAGCGGUGGAAUGCGCAGAUAUCCGGAGGAACACCAGUGGCGAAAGCGGCCUCCUGGACCAUUCCUGACACUCAGACGCGAAAGCUAGGGUAGCAAACGGGAUUAGAGACCCCGGUAGUCCUAGCCCUAAACGAUGUAGACUUGGCGUCGGUGGCUUAAUCGUCAUCGGUGUCGUAGCUAACGCGAUAAGUCUACCGCCUGGGGACUACGGCCGCAAGGUUAAAACUCAAAGGAAUUGACGGGUCCCCGCACAAGCAGCGGAGCGUGUGGUUUAAUUCGUUGCUACACGAAGAACCUUACCUGGGUUUGACAUAGCAGUGGUAGGGAAGCGAAAGCGGACCGACCCUUCGGGGAGCUGUUACAGGUGUUGCAUGGCUGUCGUCAGCUCGUGUCGUGAGAUGUUCGGUUAAGUCCGCUAACGAGCGCAACCCGCGUUGUGUGUUACAAGUGUCACACAAUACCGCCGGUAUUAAGUCGGAGGAAGGUGCGGAUGACGUCAAGUCAGCAUGACCUUUAUAUCCAGGGCUACACACACGCUACAAUGGUCAGCAUAAUAGGUUGCCAAGUCGUGAGACGGAGCCAAUCCUCCAAAGCUGGCCUCAGUUCAGAUUGCAGGCUGCAACUCGCCUGCAUGAAGUUGGAGUUGCUAGUAACCGCAGGUCAGCUAUACUGCGGUGAAUACGUUCCCGGGGAUU
RNAcentral lists this ribosomal RNA (844 nucleotides) under uncultured Chloroflexota bacterium. Its description in RNAcentral is "bacterial SSU rRNA". It matches the Rfam family "Bacterial small subunit ribosomal RNA", at positions 527 to 1382 of the family's 1533-position model. Lineage: Bacteria; Bacillati; Chloroflexota. The record is from RNAcentral.